UCCUCUGGAGAUUUCCCACACAGACGCUCCCAUUUCGAACACACAGUACACGGCCACAAUAGCAUUCGCAGCAAGUACGAAUCUAGGCCCUAAGUUUUCGAAUCGAUAUCACCUGAAGUUUGGGCCUGUGAAGUUCUAGGUAAAGUAUUAAUACUCUAUAUAUGCCUAUCUUUAUAUUGCAUAAUAAGAUUUAUAUAUAACACAAUUUACUGGUACAUUUGGUAGAAUUUUAGAUGUUAAAUUUUAGAGAAUCCAGAUUCCCUAACUUCACUACAUAAAUGCUUUAAUAAUUCCUCCUGAAUUACAUGUACUUUCCUCCCCAAAAGAUCUCUUUACAUCUGAAGGCCUCCAGUGUUCAUCUUCCAUGAAAGAAUUCCAUUUCUGGCUCCUCCAUGCUUUGUUCUCAGCAUUCCAUUUCAUCCAAUCAUGCAAGGACCAGUUUGAAAAACCCCUCCAGUGCUCAGGCAGACUAAUUCUCUCCAGCGUUUCUGCGUUCUGGGCAAAAUGUUUUGAGUUCUUUGUCACUUGUCAGUGAAUUCAGGUGAUCAGCAAGAUCUUGCAGUGGAUUUUGGAGACUGACUUUAUUCUUAACUCAUUAAAUCAUCAACGCGAGUUCGUAUUUUUCACAUUCUUUGUCUCAUGACUUCCUUUCUUUCUUGUUCAGCUCCAGAAGACAUGAAAGCAUUUUGAAGGAAAAGAUGCUCCUUAGUGCUAAACUAUCUCCUUUUUUCCUAAUUAUUGCUUUAUUUGCUUCUUUCUUUUAGUCUUUGUAUGAUAAAAAACUUAAAAACAAAUAAUUUCUUCUUUCACCAGCGUUGAUGUUUAGGUGGUGCAAGUGUGAUAAUAGAUAAGCGCAAUACAUGUUCUAUUAUUCUUUAUAACGAGUUAAUGAUUGAUCUUAUCUCAAUAUGAGAAAAACAAUCUUUUGGACCUGAUUGAACAAGAAACAGAUUUUUCAUUGCCAA
Neltuma alba is the source of this 965-nucleotide long non-coding RNA. RefSeq lists it as uncharacterized. Lineage: Eukaryota; Viridiplantae; Streptophyta; Magnoliopsida; Fabales; Fabaceae. The transcript has 3 exons. The record is from RefSeq and is a predicted model, not a curated record.